UGGGAGGCAGCAGUGGGGAAUAUUGGACAAUGGGCGAAAGCCUGAUCCAGCCAUGCCGCGUGUGUGAAGAAGGUCUUCGGAUUGUAAAGCACUUUAAGUUGGGAGGAAGGGCAGUAAGCUAAUACCUUGCUGUUUUGACGUUACCAACAGAAUAAGCACCGGCUAACUUCGUG
Molecule: ribosomal RNA, 173 nt
Filed under: uncultured bacterium
Lineage: Bacteria
Description: partial 16S rRNA
Rfam family: Bacterial small subunit ribosomal RNA
Source: RNAcentral